This 187-nucleotide ribosomal RNA is filed under the name Oidiodendron maius. RNAcentral describes it as "partial large subunit ribosomal RNA". It matches the Rfam family "Eukaryotic large subunit ribosomal RNA", at positions 82 to 266 of the family's 3401-position model. The record is from RNAcentral. Lineage: Eukaryota; Fungi; Ascomycota; Leotiomycetes; Myxotrichaceae.
AGUAACGGCGAGUGAAGCGGCAACAGCUCAAAUUUGAAAUCUGGCCCUCUCAGGGUCCGAGUUGUAAUUUGGAGAGGAUGCUUCGGGUGUGGCCCCGGUCUAAGUUCCUUGGAACAGGACGUCACAGAGGGUGAGAAUCCCGUACGUGCCCGGUGGCCGCCCCCGUGUGAAGCUCCUUCGACGAGUC